CGUUGAGAUACAGGUUCCCGUAUGACCACCGAAGUUAAGCAACGUUGAAUCUAGUUAGUACCUUGAUGGGUAACCGUUUGGUAAUGCCUAGUGCAGUAA
Non-coding RNA from Acanthosepion pharaonis, 99 nucleotides. The record is from the annotation of a GenBank genome assembly. NCBI's taxonomy places the organism in Eukaryota, Metazoa, Mollusca, Cephalopoda, Sepiida, Sepiidae.